This 1166-nucleotide long non-coding RNA is filed under the name Medicago truncatula (barrel medic). RNAcentral's name for it is "long non-coding RNA (MTRU_LNC002288)". Lineage: Eukaryota; Viridiplantae; Streptophyta; Magnoliopsida; Fabales; Fabaceae. The record is from RNAcentral.
AUAGGCAAAAUCACGAGAACAUUGGAUCAUGCCAUUGACAUACAUGUCCUUUAACUUUACCAGGAACCUUAAGGGUGCCUUCAUGUACCUGGUGAGCUUGCUUCCUUUGCUCUUAUCUUUUUUUGUCAUGUUUCAAGAUUACUUCAAAAAAUGGCAAUUAGAGUUAGGGCCCUUAAUAUAGAUAAAGAAAAUGGACAGCUAGCUGUAUUAUUAGCAGCUUCUGUAGGGAAGCUUAAGUUACACGACAGAUAACUUCAAGCUGAGUUACUCUAUUUAAUACUUUAUUAUACAUAUUAACUUUCACAAAUUAAAUAAAUGAUUACCACUGUAUCUUGUUUUUUUUUUUUUUUUUUUUUUUUUUUUUGAAAAGCCAAAAAAGAUAUUAUUAAAUAGAAUGGUACCAAAGUACCACCAAAAUGUUGAACUCAUCUAAAGUAAUUUUGUGGAUCCAAUUAAAGCCACGUUAUUCUGAAGCAACUCACUCAUAUUUUACUCCAAUAGUGCAACUCUAAAAUACCCAUAUAUAAUCCCACAAUUUUAUCUCAUAUAUUAAUAUUUUAUUCAUUAAUAUGGUAAAGUCCAUUAUUAAUUAAUAAUAUGCAAGUAUCAUUUUUUAUUCAUCUGUGUCAGAAAACAACGCUUGGCCAAAGUUGCUUCCUGAAGAGACGGUAGCGACAUGCUGUCGAAAUGUUGAGCAGCUCCAAUGGUAAUUUGUGGAAAAAGGGGUUGACACUCUGGCGGACGGUACUAGGAAAUUUGCCGCUGGAGCUACUGGUCUCAAGCAACCAAACUCCAAUUACAACAAGAAGUAUGACAAUGACCCAUAAUUCCAAAAGCCUACUACUGUAUCUUGUUAAUUAUAUGAAAAACGAAUGGUGGGGUGGGUUCUACAUAUAAAUCGUAAUGGUCCAUCGUGGAUCAAUAUUUAAAUGGUUUAAAUGUGUGUUUAGUCCUUACUAUUUCAUCCAAUUUUGGUAUCGGUCAGUGUGCUUUUUUUGUAUAGUUAAAAAAAGAAAAACAAAUUUAACGGUGUGCCACGUGGGACAAUCAUGACACGCCACGUGGCACACUAAAAGACAACAAAUAUUUAACUUUUUAAUUAUUAUUUUAUUCAUUAUUUUUUUACUUAAUUAGUCCCUGCACUUUCAACAUUUUUUAUAAUAAUC